Molecule: long non-coding RNA, 429 nt
Filed under: Anas platyrhynchos platyrhynchos (common mallard)
Lineage: Eukaryota; Metazoa; Chordata; Aves; Anseriformes; Anatidae
Description: lncRNA (ENSAPLG00000017531.1)
Source: RNAcentral
CUGCCUAUUUCAUUCCUUUGAAUAUAAAGAGAUGACCAUCUCCAACCUGAAGGUCUGUGUUUCUACCACCUAAGGUAGGGGGGAUGAAUCCUGCCUAUUGGGACUAACAGGAUCGCUGUUAGGAAGGUUUAGGGAGAGAGGAGUACAGCUGCGAUGUCUCUUAACUACUGGCUGUGUUUAUCUGCCUGCUCAGAAAUUGCUCAGAACAUAGGUGAAGUGUGAUGCAUUGUUAGUUUUUUCUGUUUUCCCUUUAGGGGAGAGAAAACGACUGGAGAAACAAUGGAAGAGCUGUGUUUACAGAGUAGUACAAAGCUGAAAAAUUUCCAUACUAUGUUUACCACCAGCCACAAUGUGUGGCAGCAGAAAUGCCUGUUUUGCAGACGUGUCCGUCAGGUGGAAGGUGCCUGGCCAAGAAUAAGAGAGUUGUGA